RNAcentral lists this ribosomal RNA (143 nucleotides) under uncultured bacterium. RNAcentral describes it as "partial 16S rRNA". It matches the Rfam family "Bacterial small subunit ribosomal RNA", at positions 354 to 511 of the family's 1533-position model. The record is from RNAcentral.
GUGGGGAAGUUUUCCGCAAUGGGCGAAAGCCUGACGGAGCAAUGCCGCGUGGAGGUGGAAGGCCUACGGGUCGUCAACUUCUUUUCUCGGAGAAGAAACAAUGACGGUAUCUGAGGAAUAAGCAUCGGCUAACUCUGUGCCAG